RNAcentral lists this ribosomal RNA (473 nucleotides) under uncultured bacterium. RNAcentral's name for it is "bacterial SSU rRNA". It matches the Rfam family "Bacterial small subunit ribosomal RNA", at positions 28 to 526 of the family's 1533-position model. The record is from RNAcentral.
GACGAACGCUGGCGGCGUGCCUAAUACAUGCAAGUCGAGCGGGGUUCCUUCGGGAACCUAGCGGCGAACGGGUGAGUAACACGUGGGCAACCUGCCCUCAAGCCUGGGAUAACUUCGGGAAACCGGUGCUAAUACCAGAUAAUCAUCGCUUCCGCAUGGGAGCGUUGUAAAAGUUUUUCGCUUGAGGAUGGGCCCGCGGUGCAUUAGCUAGUUGGUAGGGUAACAGCCUACCAAGGCGACGAUGCAUAGCCGACCUGAGAGGGUGACCGGCCACACUGGGACUGAGACACGGCCCAGACUCCUACGGGAGGCAGCAGUAGGGAAUUUUCCGCAAUGGGCGAAAGCCUGACGGAGCAACGCCGCGUGAGUGAUGACGGCCUUCGGGUUGUAAAGCUCUGUUCUUAGGGAAGAAGUUCUGACGGUACCUAAGGAGAAAGCCCCGGCUAACUACGUGCCAGCCGCCGCCGUAACAC